GCCUUUGUGUUGUAGUGGUCAGCAUGCUCGACGCGAUAACCGAGAGGUUCGUGGUUCGAUUCCCGGCGAAGGCG
This 74-nucleotide transfer RNA is filed under the name Stegodyphus mimosarum. It matches the Rfam family "tRNA". From Rfam's summary of the family: Transfer RNA (tRNA) molecules are approximately 80 nucleotides in length. The record is from Rfam by way of RNAcentral. Lineage: Eukaryota; Metazoa; Arthropoda; Arachnida; Araneae; Eresidae.